Non-coding RNA from Trichonephila clavata, 73 nucleotides. Lineage: Eukaryota; Metazoa; Arthropoda; Arachnida; Araneae; Nephilidae. The record is from the annotation of a GenBank genome assembly.
AUCUCUGUAGCGCAUCGGAUAGCGCGUUAGACAUCUAAUCUAAAGGUCGUAGGUUCGAAUCCUACCUGGAAUG